Molecule: ribosomal RNA, 253 nt
Filed under: uncultured bacterium
Lineage: Bacteria
Description: partial 16S ribosomal RNA
Rfam family: Bacterial small subunit ribosomal RNA
Source: RNAcentral
UACGAAGGGGGCGAGCGUUGUUCGGAUUUACUGGGCGUAAAGCGUGCGCAGGCGGUUCGCUAAGACCGAUGUGAAAUCCCCGGGCUUAACCUGGGAACUGCAUUGGUGACUGGCGGGCUAGAGUAUGGCAGAGGGGGGUAGAAUUCCACGUGUAGCAGUGAAAUGCGUAGAGAUGUGGAGGAAUACCGAUGGCGAAGGCAGCCCCCUGGGCCAAUACUGACGCUCAUGCACGAAAGCGUGGGGAGCAAACAGG